Molecule: unclassified non-coding RNA, 393 nt
Filed under: soil metagenome
Description: partial contains 5.8S ribosomal RNA, internal transcribed spacer 2, and large subunit ribosomal RNA
Rfam family: 5.8S ribosomal RNA (bases 1-120)
Source: RNAcentral
GAUGAAGAACGUAGCGAAAUGCGAUAAGUAAUGUGAAUUGCAGAUUUCAGUGAAUCAUCGAAUAUUUGAACGCACCUUGCGCUCCUUGGUAUUCCGAGGAGCAUGCCUGUUUGAGUGUCAUUAAAUUCUCAACUCUCCAACUGUUGUCAUGACUGGUGGUAGAGCUUGGACGUGAGGGUUCUGCCGGCUCCUUGUUGAGUCUGGCUCCCUUGAAAAUGAUUAGCGCAGCUUUGCACUGUCCGCUUCAGGUGUGAUAAUUUAUCUACGCCCGACUAGCGACGCGCAUGAAUGGCUUUGUGCUUCUAACCGUCUCGAAAGAGACAAUACCUUUUGAACUUGACCUCAAAUCAGGUAGGACUACCCGCUGAACUUAAGCAUAUCAAUAGCGGAGGA